AAGCGUGUAGUUUAACUGGUUAAAACUUGAAAUUCAUAAUUUUAAAAAAUAGGUUCAAAUCCUGUCGUGCUUA
RNAcentral lists this transfer RNA (73 nucleotides) under Chrysochromulina sp. NIES-1333. RNAcentral describes it as "tRNA-Ile". It matches the Rfam family "tRNA". Rfam says of the family: Transfer RNA (tRNA) molecules are approximately 80 nucleotides in length. The record is from RNAcentral. Lineage: Eukaryota; Haptophyta; Prymnesiales; Chrysochromulinaceae.